GGCUGAACCGGGUNNCUAAUUGCUUANGGAAUUCUNGCCUAUUAGUNGGGGGACAACAUUUCCGAAAGGAAUGGCUCAAUUACCGCAUGACGUGCCUACGGGAGAAAGCAGGGGAUCUUCGGACCUUGCGCUAAUAGAUUGAGCCUAAGUCGGAUUAGCUAGUUGGUGGGGUAAAGGCCUACCAAGGCGACGAUCUGUAGCGGGUCUGAGAGGAUGAUCCGCCACACUGGGACUGAGACACGGCCCAGACUCCUACGGGAGGCAGCAGUGGGGAAUAUUGGACAAUGGGGCGGAAGCCUGAUCCAGCCAUGCCGCGUGUGUGAAGAAGGCCUUAUGGUUGUAAAGCACUUUAAGCGAGGAGGAGGCUACUCUAGUUAAUACCUAGAGAUAGUGGACGUUACUCGCANAAUAAGCACCGGCUAACUCUGUGCCAGCAGCCGCGGUAAUACAGAGGGUGCGAGCGUUAAUCGGAUUUACUGGGCCGUAAAGCGUGCGUANGCGGCUGAUUAANUCGGAUGUGAAAUCCCUGAGCUUAACUUNAGGAUUUGCCUUUCGANUACUGGUCAGCUAGAGUAUGGGAGAGGAUGGUANAAUUCCNGGUGUAGCGGNGAAAUUGCGUAAAGAUCUGGAGGGAUACCGAUGGCCAAAGNCACCCNUCUGGGCCUAAUACUGNACNCUNGAGGUNCGAAANCCUNGGGGGNNCAAACAGGAUUAAAUACCCUGGGUAGUCCNUNCCGUAAANAAAGUUNUACUACCNGUNGGGNCUUUGAGNCUUUNUGGCCCNNCUUACNCCAUANUAAACCNCUNGGGAUUNCGUCCCAAAAAUUAANUCA
Molecule: ribosomal RNA, 833 nt
Filed under: Acinetobacter haemolyticus
Lineage: Bacteria; Pseudomonadati; Pseudomonadota; Gammaproteobacteria; Moraxellales; Moraxellaceae
Description: partial 16S ribosomal RNA
Rfam family: Bacterial small subunit ribosomal RNA
Source: RNAcentral